AUCACUUCUCAGCCUUUUGGGUAAGAUCAAGCACAGUAUCUGUUCUUAUCAGUUUAAUAUCUGAUUCAUCCUCUAUCCGAGGAAUUAUAUUAAAUGUAUCUUUGGAGCAGGGAAAGAGAAUAGGAGUUUGCUCCGUCUAUUCCAUACAUCGACGAGGUAUAUAGUACCUCCAGGAAUGGUGCACAACAA
Pipistrellus kuhlii (Kuhl's pipistrelle) is the source of this 189-nucleotide small nuclear RNA. RefSeq annotates it as U2 spliceosomal RNA. NCBI's taxonomy places the organism in Eukaryota, Metazoa, Chordata, Mammalia, Chiroptera, Vespertilionidae. The transcript has a single exon. The record is from RefSeq and is a predicted model, not a curated record.